Molecule: long non-coding RNA, 4764 nt
Organism: Mustela erminea (ermine)
Lineage: Eukaryota; Metazoa; Chordata; Mammalia; Carnivora; Mustelidae
Exons: 3
Source: RefSeq, a predicted model, not a curated record
GCCUCGCUGUCAUGAGAAAAGAAUCCACGGGUCCAAAAACUCGCUAUUUUUAGGUCUUGGUGGAUUUGAGCCAGUUUCCUGAGUAUAGUAAUUACCCAAAUAUUUUAUUGAAUAGGACCUUGAAAAAUAACAGCUCGCAUCUUACUCUACUCGGAAGUUCAAACAGGUUUAGACCCAUGCCCCUAAUCCGCGAAGACAAGCGCCAGCUUCUCUCCUAAAUGCAGGACUUGUGUACCCCCUGCUUCCUGGACAUCUCCUCAGACCUGACGUUUCCAAAGGGAACGCUUCUCGCACAACUGGCCCUAGGUGCUCCUCUAGGGAGAAGUUUUGGUCCAUGGCUCCAGCCACCAGACUGGGACCCCGCCCUUUGCCUCACUCCCCAGUUGGCCCUGGUGACUCCAUCUUCAGACUCUGUAAUGAAUCUGCCUCUGGGUCCCCGCAGCCCCCACCAGCCUGGUACCACUAUGUCUCUUCCCCUGGAGCUGGUGCCUUGACUUCCCCCUCCCCCAGCCUAGGUACCUCUUCACAUACACACAGAUGGAUCUGUUAGAGAACGUAAAUCAUAAAUCGUAGAUCCCAUUUGGAUGGCUUGCCUCGGAGCCAUGCAGGUCUCCAACCCUCCCCGUGGCCUGUGACGGAGGAGUCAGGUGCCUGUGAGUCCCGUCCUCUUACCUCUGUUUGCUUAAUGUCCGGUACAGAAGCUUCGGAAUCCGGUGAAGGUUUAGCAAUGAUUGCAAAGAGAGAUGCCUCCAGCCAACCCAACCCCAAGUUUGCACAGCAGAACAAAACACUCACCCCAAAGUUCAGCUGAGGAACAAGAGCAGUCAGAGAAAUAAAAAAAUUAAUGACGUCAUUAGAGUGGGGGCCAGUGAGCGGCUCCCUUGCAUCAGCGGGGAAGUUGGAGUGUGCCCAAGAUUGGAAAGCAGGCAGCAGUGCUCCCUCGGCCUCGUCUUCCCCUAAUUAGAGAACAGACCGCAAGGGACAAAAUUGCAAAAGAAAUUCCAGCUUCUCUAAGAACCUCAGAGCGAUGGCAGCAUGAGCACACAGUGGGCAGGUACAACGUACGGGUCACUCUGGCAAGCAUUUCACAGGCGCUGAUCCUUCUCAUCGUCACACAGUCUGAAAGUUACAACUCUUGUCCCUGUUCAGCAGAUGAGCAGACUGAGGCCACUGAGGUUAAUCCGCUUGCCCGAGACCUCACAGUCAGGAUACGGCAGAGCCAUUGCAAAGAAAACUGGUUCCGCAGUCCCUGUUCCUAACCAACUCAACAGAUCUGAGUUUGGGAAUGGACUGGAUGCCCUGCUUCAAGUCCAAAAACAGGGACAUUUCAGCAAACUUCAUAAGCCAGACCAUCGGACUCAUGCACCCAGAAUGGCCUCCCUGUUCAGCCAGACUUCCGGCCAUGGCAGUGGGUUCAGACAAGGCUGUCAUGGACCUCAGCAGGAGAGGGGCCUGGCAGCCGCGGGGCGAUUCGCUGCAGGUGUGUGGGACGGAGGAUGACACACACAGACCCACUGUGUCCCUUGCUAAGGCAGUGGCUAUUGUGCGCACCACCAAAGCGUCCACCCCAGGCUCCUUGGUGGGAACCUGGAAGCUCUCCCCUCCUCCAUAUGGGAUUAAUUAUGGGGCCUGAGGAUGAUUUUACCUCUGAAACAUUCUGUGGCAGAGUCAGUACUGUUUGUUGGCCAGACCCGUUUCCUUUCUGCUCUGAGCUCAGCUCAACUGCACUUCUGAGACUCCUCCUCAGCGGCAGGGCCACAGGCACGCUGCAGAGGACAGCCAGGCCCAGGGGAAUGGAUGGAGGGGGGCUGGGUCCCUGGAUGACCACAUGGAGCGGACCUCCCUGCCACAGCCAGGCCCCGUCGCAGACUCACACUGGGCUGGGAUGCGAGUCAGAAACACAUUCCCCGCACUGAGGUUGGAGGGUGCGUCCUGCAACAAACACAGCUACUUGACUAAUUUCUCUUCUAGGUGAUCUUUCCAGAGCUACCGCUCUGCCCAUCACUGCCUUUCUACCUCUCUCCUUGCCCUCUCCGCCUCUGUUCCGCCUUCAGCCAUCCCAACUCCAGCUGCUAAGGCAGAGCGAGCCUCUUAAAGACCAAGUCAGUCUAUCUGCUCCUUGGUGUACAGCUGACAAUGGUACCGCCAAAUGCAGCCUUGGAGGGACCCCAGUGUGGCACGUGGCCUUCCCAGGCCUGCUUUCGUCCACGGUCCAUGGGCCAGCUUUGUGCCAGCUCUCUGUUGCCACCCACAGGGCCUGGCCACGGGUGCACCGGGCAUUUCUGUCUUCAUGGCUGCUUCUCUCACCAGACUCCUUCUGGAAUGUCCUUCCAUCUCUCUGCUCUCUAUUUCCGUCUGUCGGCUUAACUGCUCCUCAUCUUGUGGGAUGAGUCUGGCCACACCGCCUCCGUGUCCCCCCCCACCCCCCAGGGACCCACACACCACACACCACCACUGCACUAGGAGUGCUUGGCAUAGAGAGUGUUGGCUGUCUGUGUCGUUGACACAGAGCAGGGCCUCAACAACUACCCAGCACCCCGGGAGAGGACAAUAAAAUUAUCUCCGGACAUUGUCCAAUGUCCCCCGGGAAACAAAGUGGGGCCCACUCUGGGGUCAUGUCAGAGAAAGAUUCGUCUGCUAACUGUAACAAGAAUUCAGAGGGCACGUUAUCUUGAUGAGCUCACCCUAGUCAAUGCUGACCUGAAACCAGAUUUUGUCCAAACUGGCUCUUAGAAGCCAAGUUGUGGGGACCCAAUUCAGAACAGGUUCAGGGUGGCAGACCUGGGGCCUACUGAGUACCCACCAGCUGCUUCUCCUUUGCCAACAGACCCCAGGCUUUUUCAGCAUGGCCAUAUGGCCAGCACAAGCAGUAUGUUGAGAUUGGUCUAGGCCAUUCUGGAUCAUUCUGGAUCUUAGUAUCCCAGCCUCUCCUGCAGGUAAGGGUAGCCUUAAAACCAGUUCAAGUCAAGGAGAUAUAAGGGGAAGUCUGUUGUGAGAGUUUCUUAGACACUUUUGCUUUUCUGUUAGGGUCAGAGGCAACAGACACCACCCUCCUCCAACCUCUCUCCCUUUCUGAUUGCAGGCAUGAGGGCUAGGGCAGGGGGAGAGUCACAGAUGGGCCAGCUUUGGCCUCCUGGAGCACACACCAAGGCCCUCUACCUCCCGCUUCUUCCUUAAUACGAGAGGAAAAGAACUCCUGGCAUUUGUUUGUGUCCCUGUUUGGGUUGAACGGUGCCCCCAGCCGUUCAUGUCCACCUAGAACCUCAGAAUAUGGCCUUAUCCAGCAGUAAGGUCUUUGCAGAUAUGACUGGACGGGGAUCUUGACAUAAAGUCAGCCUGGGUUUGGGGAGGGCCUCAAUCCCAUGACUGGGGGCCUCACAAGAAGGGAGGGUGGAGACAGUCCAGGGGACAAGACCACAUGGGGGCAAGAGGCAAUGAGUGGAACAGCACUGCCACAUGCCUUAGGGACACAAGGAGCCCCCAGGAUCCCUCAGGAGCCGCAGGAGGGACCCUCCCCUGGGCGUUCUGGAGGGCAGCUGGGCCCGCUGACAACUUGAUCUCGGUCUUCUGGCCUCCAGAACCGUGAGAGAGGCAAUUCCUGUUGCUUCAGUCCGUGCAGUUUCUGGUCGUUGGUUAUGGGCCACCCCAGGCAACACGUGUGGCCCCUCCUGAAGUCUUCUGUGCCUUUAGGAGGACCGACUCAUGAGCACAUGGACGGGGAGCCAGCUCCGAUCGCAGCCUGGGGGGCUUCUCUCCAGGUACCCUCCGCUGAGGAGAAGGGAAGGGAGCCAGGUGGAAGGUCACUGUGGGGAGAAAUGAAAGACGUCUCUUCUACUUCUCCGCGGGACUUUUUUUUUUUUAAUGUGGCUCCCAAUAUGUACCACUAAUUUAUUCCUUACUUUUCACCAUCGAGACAUUUACAAGGUGGAAGAUUUAUACAAUCUGAAGAGAACCCUGAGUAUCACUGAGACCUUUGAAAUGGAGGAGACGCAUAUGCCGCUUCAUUUGUCUUCCACUGUGAGGAAACACAACUUCCCACACAAAGUGGUAUCACACAGAACUGAGGCUUCCCAUUCUCUAUGGUCACAAACUUCGAAUAUUCUCUACUUUAUACCUAUUUAAUAUCCACUAUUAAUUUGAAGCACUUUGAAAUAUCGAUUUUUUGCUUUCUCAAACCAAUAUUUUUAAAUAUGCUCUAACUUAAGUAAGAAUUUUUUUAAAAUGUCAUUUCAUUUAUAUUAAUAAAAAUUGUGUAUGUUUAAGGUAUACAACAUGGGGAUUUGAUCCGCCUGUACACAGCAGCACAAAUAUUGCAGUGCUAAUUAACUCAUCCGCCUCCUCACAUAGCUUACCCCCUCCUUUUUUUUUUUUUUUUUCCCCCAGGUGGGGUCUUUUGAGAUCUGCUUCCUUUCACAGAGCUCACCUUCUGGUGAAGGACCUUGUAUACUUACCAGGGUCAGGGAGUGCUUCCUUGGGCAAAAAGAGCCAAAGUGUAAUUUCUGGACCCCCUAGAUCUAGAUUCCCUACAGACCAUUUUCUCAAUUUUUCCAUGUCCCAUUAGGUCAUAGUCCAUGUGACAUACCAAAGUUAAUUUUUUAUGGGGUCUAAUUUGUAGGACUUGCUAUGCUAAGCCCCCAACACUGGUCAUCCCUAUGGGCCUUUGGUGGCGGGCCAGCCUCAGAAUCCUUACCUGGAAAGCAGAGACCCUGAGUCUGCUUCUUGAAUGCUGUGAGAGGGGCCGUCCUGGGAUCCCGUGGCAUUUGA